CAGCCGCCACGGGAAUACGUAGGUGGCAAGCGUUGUCCGGAAUUAUUGGGCGUAAAGGGCUCGCAGGCGGUUUCUUAAGUCUGAUGUGAAAGCCCCCGGCUCAACCGGGGAGGGUCAUUGGAAACUGGGCAACUUGAGUGCAGAAGAGGAGAGUGGAAUUCCACGUGUAGCGGUGAAAUGCGUAGAGAUGUGGAGGAACACCAGUGGCGAAGGCGACUCUCUGGUCUGUAACUGACGCUGAGGAGCGAAAGCGUGGGGAGCGAACAGGAUUAGAUACCCCAGUAGUCCCUGUCUCUUAUAC
This 301-nucleotide ribosomal RNA is filed under the name uncultured bacterium. RNAcentral describes it as "partial 16S ribosomal RNA". It matches the Rfam family "Bacterial small subunit ribosomal RNA", at positions 509 to 807 of the family's 1533-position model. The record is from RNAcentral.